RNAcentral lists this ribosomal RNA (1483 nucleotides) under Helicobacter pylori. RNAcentral describes it as "bacterial SSU rRNA". It matches the Rfam family "Bacterial small subunit ribosomal RNA". Lineage: Bacteria; Pseudomonadati; Campylobacterota; Epsilonproteobacteria; Campylobacterales; Helicobacteraceae. The record is from RNAcentral. RNAcentral also lists the same sequence under 2 other names.
AGAGUUUGAUCCUGGCUCAGAGUGAACGCUGGCGGCGUGCCUAAUACAUGCAAGUCGAACGAUGAAAUUUCUAGCUUGCUAGAAAUGGAUUAGUGGCGCACGGGUGAGUAACGCAUAGGUCAUGUGCCUCUUAGUUUGGGAUAGCCAUUGGAAACGAUGAUUAAUACCAGAUACUCCCUACGGGGGAAAGAUUUAUCGCUAAGAGAUCAGCCUAUGUCCUAUCAGCUUGUUGGUAAGGUAAUGGCUUACCAAGGCUAUGACGGGUAUCCGGCCUGAGAGGGUGAACGGACACACUGGAACUGAGACACGGUCCAGACUCCUACGGGAGGCAGCAGUAGGGAAUAUUGCUCAAUGGGGGAAACCCUGAAGCAGCAACGCCGCGUGGAGGAUGAAGGUUUUAGGAUUGUAAACUCCUUUUGUUAGAGAAGAUAAUGACGGUAUCUAACGAAUAAGCACCGGCUAACUCCGUGCCAGCAGCCGCGGUAAUACGGAGGGUGCAAGCGUUACUCGGAAUCACUGGGCGUAAAGAGCGCGUAGGCGGGAUAGUCAGUCAGGUGUGAAAUCCUAUGGCUUAACCAUAGAACUGCAUUUGAAACUACUAUUCUAGAGUGUGGGAGAGGUAGGUGGAAUUCUUGGUGUAGGGGUAAAAUCCGUAGAGAUCAAGAGGAAUACUCAUUGCGAAGGCGACCUGCUGGAACAUUACUGACGCUGAUUGCGCGAAAGCGUGGGGAGCAAACAGGAUUAGAUACCCUGGUAGUCCACGCCCUAAACGAUGGAUGCUAGUUGUUGGAGGGCUUAGUCUCUCCAGUAAUGCAGCUAACGCAUUAAGCAUCCCGCCUGGGGAGUACGGUCGCAAGAUUAAAACUCAAAGGAAUAGACGGGGACCCGCACAAGCGGUGGAGCAUGUGGUUUAAUUCGAAGAUACACGAAGAACCUUACCUAGGCUUGACAUUGAGAGAAUCCGCUAGAAAUAGUGGAGUGUCUAGCUUGCUAGACCUUGAAAACAGGUGCUGCACGGCUGUCGUCAGCUCGUGUCGUGAGAUGUUGGGUUAAGUCCCGCAACGAGCGCAACCCCCUUUCUUAGUUGCUAACAGGUCAUGCUGAGAACUCUAAGGAUACUGCCUCCGUAAGGAGGAGGAAGGUGGGGACGACGUCAAGUCAUCAUGGCCCUUACGCCUAGGGCUACACACGUGCUACAAUGGGGUGCACAAAGAGAAGCAAUACUGCGAAGUGGAGCCAAUCUUCAAAACGCCUCUCAGUUCGGAUUGUAGGCUGCAACUCGCCUGCAUGAAGCUGGAAUCGCUAGUAAUCGCAAAUCAGCCAUGUUGCGGUGAAUACGUUCCCGGGUCUUGUACUCACCGCCCGUCACACCAUGGGAGUUGUGUUUGCCUUAAGUCAGGAUGCUAAAUUAGCUACUGCCCACGGCACACACAGCGACUGGGGUGAAGUCGUAACAAGGUAACCGUAGGUGAACCUGCGGUUG